GCAUACGGCCAUACUACCCUGAAAAUGCCCGAUCUCGUCUGAUCUCGGAAGCCAAGCAGGGUCAGGCCUGGUCGGUACUUGGAUGGGAGACCGCCUGGGAAUACCAGGUGCCGUAAGCU
This 119-nucleotide ribosomal RNA is filed under the name Salarias fasciatus (jewelled blenny). The record is from RNAcentral. Lineage: Eukaryota; Metazoa; Chordata; Actinopteri; Blenniiformes; Blenniidae.